RNAcentral lists this ribosomal RNA (292 nucleotides) under uncultured bacterium. Its description in RNAcentral is "partial 16S ribosomal RNA". The record is from RNAcentral.
GGACUACAGGGGUAUCUAAUCCUGUUUGCUCCCCACGCUUUCGCGUCUUAGCGUCAGUAACCGUCCAGAUAGCCGCCUUCGCCACUGGUGUUCUUCCCAAUCUCUACGUAUUUCACCACUACACUGGGAAUUCCACUAUCCUCUCCGGUCCUCUAGUCAUCCAGUAUCAAGUGCAUUUCUUGAGUUGAGCUCAAGGCUUUCACACCUGACUUGAACAACCGCCUACACGCGCUUUACGCCCAGUAAUUCCGAACAACGCUAGCCCCCUUCGUCUUACCGCGGCUGCUGGCAC